RNAcentral lists this ribosomal RNA (301 nucleotides) under uncultured bacterium. RNAcentral's name for it is "partial 16S ribosomal RNA". It matches the Rfam family "Bacterial small subunit ribosomal RNA", at positions 509 to 807 of the family's 1533-position model. The record is from RNAcentral.
CAGUAGCCGCGGGAAUACGUAGGUGGCAAGCGUUGUCCGGAAUUAUUGGGCGUAAAGGGCUCGCAGGCGGUUUCUUAAGUCUGAUGUGAAAGCCCCCGGCUCAACCGGGGAGGAUCAUUGGAAACUGGGAAACUUGAGUGCAGAAGAGGAGAGUGGAAUUCCACGUGUAGCGGUGAAAUGCGUAGAGAUGCGGAGGAACACCAGUGGCGAAGGCGACUCUCUGGUCUGUAACUGACGCUGAGGAGCGAAAGCGUGGGGAGCGAACAGGAUUAGAUACCCCCGUAGUCCCUGUCUCUUAUAC